Molecule: long non-coding RNA, 1048 nt
Filed under: Sus scrofa (pig)
Lineage: Eukaryota; Metazoa; Chordata; Mammalia; Artiodactyla; Suidae
Description: lncRNA (ENSSSCG00015025700.1)
Source: RNAcentral
GCGCCAAGCCUUCUCCCGCCGCCUUUGUUCUUGGAGAGAAUCACUCCUAAGUCUCCUCCGGGCGGGGCCCGGCCAACCCCCCCGCCCCGCCCCGUGGUGCCCAACUGGGGCCGCCUCCUCCCGCCCUCGCGGCGCCUGUCCCCUGGUCCCGGCGCCCCCGCUCAGGGCCACCGAAGGGUCUGGGGACUCGGGGAGGGGGGAGGCGCGAUCCGGGUCCGUGGGAGCCUCCCCAGCCCCGCAGUCCCAGCAGCAAACCGAGCGUUGUCGGACGGAUGCUCGCGCGGAGGGCCCCAACCCAGCCAGGUCUGAUGGUUACGGUGUGGACAUGCUGGAUUACAGCAGCGCCGCCUGCUCUGGCCCCAUGAUGCCCAGCACCACGUGGCACGUCCGGAUGCCCCAGCCUGGAGAGUCACGGUCGCACUCCCUUCCCCCACAGCAGCAAGGGGUCAUGCCCCCGUUGUCCGCAACUGGCCCUGGCGCCGCCCUCCGGGGAGGGGGAGAGACGGCCUCAGCUCCCCCAGGGGUGGGGUCUAGGGCAGGCUUCCGAGGGUUCAGAGGUUCUCGCCUUCUCUGCGUGGAGUGGAUGGAAGGCAGUUCCUUCCGUUUCAGGGGCUUCUUCCUGGCGCUCUUUGCCAAGGCCCUCCCUCGCCCACAGCUCAGGUGGAAAUACUGAGGCGGAUGAGUUCAGGUUGGCCAAGCCGCCAGCCACGGACCCUGGGUGUGCUCGCCCAUCCUGGCCCCGCCCCCUGCGCUCCCUGGUACCCACUGGCUCACUCCUGGGCGCUGUACAAUGAGAGGGGUGUUCCUAGCGGUCGCGAGAGAAAAGGGGUUACGAGGCCUUCCAGUUCCCACGCUCCCUCUGUGGAGUUUGCUUUUGCAGAUUCCGUUCCAGUCUGGUCUCCGGUUCCCUGGCUUAUCCUACGGCUGAGCGGAGUACCCGGGUAAAUAGGUUUCACUCUGCAGACUUCGGGUCAGGUCUGAGGGUCACGUGCAUUUGUCCUGCCUCCUCCAGGCACACAUUUCCAGACAGACCGGCAGAGGGCGGCCU